AGAGUUUGAUCCUGGCUCAGGACGAACGCUGGCGGCGCGCCUAACACAUGCAAGUCGAACGGAGUCAAGAGGAGCUUGCUUUUCUUGACUUAGUGGCGAACGGGUGAGUAACGCGUGAGUAACCUGCCCUGGAGUGGGGGACAACAGUUGGAAACGACUGCUAAUACCGCAUAAGCCCACGGCCCGGCAUCGGGCUGAGGGAAAAGGAUUUAUUCGCUUCAGGAUGGACUCGCGUCCAAUUAGCUAGUUGGUGAGGUAACGGCCCACCAAGGCGACGAUUGGUAGCCGGACUGAGAGGUUGAACGGCCACAUUGGGACUGAGACACGGCCCAGACUCCUACGGGAGGCAGCAGUGGGGGAUAUUGCACAAUGGGGGAAACCCUGAUGCAGCGACGCCGCGUGGAGGAAGAAGGUUUUCGGAUUGUAAACUCCUGUUGUUGAGGAAGAUAAUGACGGUACUCAACAAGGAAGUGACGGCUAACUACGUGCCAGCAGCCGCGGUAAAACGUAGGUCACAAGCGUUGUCCGGAAUUACUGGGUGUAAAGGGAGCGCAGGCGGGAAGACAAGUUGGAAGUGAAAUCCAUGGGCUCAACCCAUGAACUGCUUUCAAAACUGUUUUUCUUGAGUAGUGCAGAGGUAGGCGGAAUUCCCGGUGUAGCGGUGGAAUGCGUAGAUAUCGGGAGGAACACCAGUGGCGAAGGCGGCCUACUGGGCACCAACUGACGCUGAGGCUCGAAAGUGUGGGUAGCAAACAGGAUUAGAUACCCUGGUAGUCCACACUGUAAACGAUGAUUACUAGGUGUUGGAGGAUUGACCCCUUCAGUGCCGCAGUUAACACAAUAAGUAAUCCACCUGGGGAGUACGACCGCAAGGUUGAAACUCAAAGGAAUUGACGGGGGCCCGCACAAGCAGUGGAGUAUGUGGUUUAAUUCGACGCAACGCGAAGAACCUUACCAGGUCUUGACAUCCUGCGACGCACAUAGAAAUAUGUUUUUCCUUCGGGACGCAGAGUCAGGUGGUGCAUGGUUGUCGUCAGCUCGUGUCGUGAGAUGUUGGGUUAAGUCCCGCAACGAGCGCAACCCUUAUGGUCAGUUACUACGCAAGAGGACUCUGGCCAGACUGCCGUUGACAAAACGGAGGAAGGUGGGGAUGACGUCAAAUCAUCAUGCCCUUUAUGACUUGGGCUACACACGUACUACAAUGGCGUUAAACAAAGAGAAGCAAGACCGCGAGGUGGAGCAAAACUCAGAAACAACGUCCCAGUUCGGACUGCAGGCUGCAACUCGCCUGCACGAAGUCGGAAUUGCUAGUAAUCGUGGAUCAGCAUGCCACGGUGAAUACGUUCCCGGGCCUUGCACACACCGCCCGUCA
RNAcentral lists this ribosomal RNA (1372 nucleotides) under uncultured bacterium. RNAcentral's name for it is "bacterial SSU rRNA". It matches the Rfam family "Bacterial small subunit ribosomal RNA". The record is from RNAcentral.